GGACAACAGCCAGAAAGACAGUAAGGACUUCAGUUGCACAACCACAGGGAAAUGAAUUAUGCCGACAACCCUAAGGAGUAUGAAGCUGAUCUGUUCCUAGCCCAGUGUCUCCAUGAGGAUGCAGUCAGUGAACAACAUGAUUUCUGCUUUCUGAGACCCUGAUCACAGGACCAACUGACAUACACUGGACUCCUGGCCUAUGCAAAACGAUCUGAGCCCCUUUUCUCCUGAUUAAUCCACUGCAGGCCUAGAGCCAAGCUGCCCUGUUUAUUAAAAGGGGAUACCCACUACAGCGUCCACUGCAGAUGCACUUCAAGAUUUCAAAGACUUCCAGCCACAAGAAGACGGCAAGUGAAGAAAAUAGAAGAAAGUGAAUAGAUUUCAAGGCAAAGUCUUGAGAACUUCUUAAGAAUUGAGAGACCAAUCUGCUGAGCUUAUGAAAAGAAAGCAACAAAAAACUGAAUAACCAAUUCUAAAGGCCAAAACAGUUGAGAAGAGUAAAGAGGAAAGAAGGAAGAAAAAGCAAACAUUUACUUUAGUAAUUUUAAAUGUUUGAAGAUUAAAAAAAAAUA
RNAcentral lists this non-coding RNA (572 nucleotides) under Pan troglodytes (chimpanzee). The record is from RNAcentral. Lineage: Eukaryota; Metazoa; Chordata; Mammalia; Primates; Hominidae.